UAUCAGUAAGCGGAGGAAAAGAAACUAACAAGGAUUCCCCCAGUAACGGCGAGUGAAGCGGGAUAAGCCCAGCACCGAAUCUUCCGGCCAAACGGUCGGCGAGAAAUGUGGUGUAUAGGUGGCCGAUUGUCGUCGUCGCGAGCGCUCAAGUCCUCCUGAUCGUGGCCUUGCCCAGAGCGGGUGUCAGGCCCUUGGCGGCGCGAGCUUCGGCGGCUUCGAGCCUCCUUGGAGUCGGGUUGUUUGGGAAUGCAGCCCAAAGAGGGUGGUAAACUCCACCUAAGGCUAAAUACAGGCACGAGUCCGAUAGCGGACAAGUACCGUGAGGGAAAGUUGAAAAGCACUUUGAAGAGAGAGUUCAAGAGUACGUGAAACCGCAUAGAGGUAAACGGGUGGAUCCGCAGAGUCGACCCGGGGAAUUCAGCCCAGCAGCCGCGAGGCAGCCGGUGGCGAGCGAUCCGACAAGGACGCCAACGCUGGCUCGCUCUCUGGAGGCAGGGUGCACUUUCUCCGGCGUCGAGUGCCACGACCGGUUCGGCGGCGGUCAUGAGCCCGGAGGCAAGGUAGCUCGCGUCUUCGGACGCGAGUGUUUAGGCCUCCGAGGUGGACACGCUGCUGGACCGAGGACGCCGCCGCGUCCGUCGGUCUCGGGCUGUGCUGGAGCGUUCGACCGUGGACGUACUGCUUCGCAGUGCGCCGCAACCGCGCUUCGGUACGGGCCCGUCAACCGCGGGGCGCUCAGGGUCAGUGGCGAAUCGGUCGGUCCUCCACCCGACCCGUCUUGAAACACGGACCAAGGAGUCCAACAUGUGCGCGAGUCAUGGGGCUCUACGAAACCCAAAGGCGCAAUGAAAGUGAAGGCGGUCUCCGACUGCCCAGGCAGGAUCCCGUCGUCCUCGUGGCGGCGGGCGCACUGCCGGCCCGUCUCGGCCGCAUUGUCGGCGAGGCGGAGCAAGAGCGCACACGUUGGGACCCGAAAGAUGGUGAACUAUGUCUGAGCAGGACGAAGUCAGAGGAAACUCUGAUGGAGGUCCGCAGCGAUUCUGACGUGCAAAUCGAUCGUCAAACUUGGAUAUAGGGGCGAAAGACUAAUCGAACCAUCUAGUAGCUGGUUCCCUCCGAAGUUUCCCUCAGGAUAGCUGGCACUGAUAAUAAGCAGUUUUAUCCGGUAAAGCGAAUGAUUAGAGGCCUUGGGGACUAAAUGACCUCAACCUAUUCUCAAACUUUAAAUGGGUAAGAAGCGCGACUCGCUCAACUGGAGCCGCGCCUCGAAUGCCUAGUGCCAAGUGGGCCACUUUUG
This 1297-nucleotide ribosomal RNA is filed under the name Tresus capax. RNAcentral describes it as "eukaryotic LSU rRNA". It matches the Rfam family "Eukaryotic large subunit ribosomal RNA", at positions 41 to 1139 of the family's 3401-position model. Lineage: Eukaryota; Metazoa; Mollusca; Bivalvia; Venerida; Mactridae. The record is from RNAcentral.